GGAUGAACGCUGGCGGCGUGCCUAAUACAUGCAAGUCGAGCGAACAGACGAGGAGCUUGCUCCUCUGACGUUAGCGGCGGACGGGUGAGUAACACGUGGAUAACCUACCUAUAAGACUGGGAUAACUUCGGGAAACCGGAGCUAAUACCGGAUAAUAUAUUGAACCGCAUGGUUCAAUAGUGAAAGACGGUUUUGCUGUCACUUAUAGAUGGAUCUGCGCCGCAUUAGCUAGUUGGUAAGGUAACGGCUUACCAAGGCGAAGAUGCGUAGCCGACCUGAGAGGGUGAUCGGCCACACUGGAACUGAGACACGGUCCAGACUCCUACGGGAGGCAGCAGUAGGGAAUCUUCCGCAAUGGGCGAAAGCCUGACGGAGCAACGCCGCGUGAGUGAUGAAGGUCUUCGGAUCGUAAAACUCUGUUAUUAGGGAAGAACAAAUGUGUAAGUAACUAUGCACGUCUUGACGGUACCUAAUCAGAAAGCCACGGCUAACUACGUG
This 498-nucleotide ribosomal RNA is filed under the name uncultured bacterium. RNAcentral's name for it is "partial 16S ribosomal RNA". It matches the Rfam family "Bacterial small subunit ribosomal RNA", at positions 27 to 507 of the family's 1533-position model. The record is from RNAcentral.